GCGUGGAGCCAACCUUGAAAUACCACCCUUUAAUGUUUGAUGUUCUAACGUAGGACCCGUUAUCCGGGUUGCGGACAGUGUCUGGUGGGUAGUUUGACUGGGGCGGUCUCCUCCUAAAGAGUAACGGAGGAGCACGAAGGUUAGCUAAUCCUGGUCGGACAUCAGGAGGUUAGUGCAAUGGCAUAAGCUAGCUUGACUGCGAGAGUGACGGCUCGAGCAGGUGCGAAAGCAGGUCA
Molecule: non-coding RNA, 236 nt
Filed under: Serratia symbiotica str. Tucson
Lineage: Bacteria; Pseudomonadati; Pseudomonadota; Gammaproteobacteria; Enterobacterales; Yersiniaceae
Description: Bacterial large subunit ribosomal RNA
Rfam family: Bacterial large subunit ribosomal RNA
Source: Rfam by way of RNAcentral